Molecule: long non-coding RNA, 230 nt
Organism: Photinus pyralis (common eastern firefly)
Lineage: Eukaryota; Metazoa; Arthropoda; Insecta; Coleoptera; Lampyridae
Exons: 3
Source: RefSeq, a predicted model, not a curated record
GCCCGAAUUGUCGAAGUAUAUGCCCCCCCCCCCCAUCCCUUUUUUGUAGACUUUUAGGUUGACAAAGAUUCGCCAGAAGACACGGGUCGAAGGAAUUCGCAGGCUAAGAUAAACCCCCACGUGUUGGAUCAAUGCCUAGAAACAGGAGUGUGGUAGUUUUCGGGAACAUGUAAUCGAAUUUUCGUAUACUGGGGGGUAUAUUUCUUUUGCUGGGGGUGUAUCACAGACCC